RNAcentral lists this ribosomal RNA (425 nucleotides) under uncultured bacterium. RNAcentral's name for it is "bacterial SSU rRNA". It matches the Rfam family "Bacterial small subunit ribosomal RNA", at positions 354 to 796 of the family's 1533-position model. The record is from RNAcentral.
GUGGGGAAUAUUGGACAAUGGGGGCAACCCUGAUCCAGCCAUGCCGCGUGAGUGACGAAGGCCUUAGGGUUGUAAAGCUCUUUCACCGGUGACGAUAGUGACGGUAGCCGGAGAAGAAGCCCCGGCUAACUCCGUGCCAGCAGCCGCGGUAAGACGGAGGGGGCUAGCGUUGUUCGGAAUCACUGGGCGUAAAGCGCGCGUAGGCGGCUUAUCAAGUUGGGCGUGAAAGCCCGGGGCUCAACCCCGGAAAUGCGCCCAAAACUGGUUGGCUAGAGACCGAGAGAGGGUGGUGGAAUUCCCAGUGUAGAGGUGAAAUUCGUAGAUAUUGGGAAGAACACCAGUGGCGAAGGCGGCCACCUGGCUCGGAUCUGACGCUGAGGCGCGAAAGCGUGGGGAGCAAACAGGAUUAGAUACCCUAGUAGUCC